Molecule: non-coding RNA, 361 nt
Organism: Pelobates cultripes (western spadefoot toad)
Lineage: Eukaryota; Metazoa; Chordata; Amphibia; Anura; Pelobatidae
Source: the annotation of a GenBank genome assembly
AGGUAGAUCAUCGCCAGAUCAGCCUUUGAGCUAGGAAUACAUAAAAAAGAGCUAUAAGAAGAAGACCCUUUUAGUAACAAUGUGUCACAAAAACAACUUCUAAAUGGCAAAAGGCACAGAACAUGGUGAUAAGAUGCAGCUAACACAAUGUGUGACAAUGGGGAACAUGGAUACCAUCUAAACAUAAAUGGGGGAAUAUCAGCCAUAGUGACAAUGGUAACAAGACAAUGGAACAGAGAAACACCCGUUUAAACAUAGAAGACCUCAGAGAACACAGAGAGGUCACCUCAAAUAGUAAAGUUUGCCCAUUCAGACAGUAAAAGCAUAUUCCAGAUGGUUUUAAAGUCUUCGUAGGAGCAGG